This 480-nucleotide ribosomal RNA is filed under the name uncultured bacterium. RNAcentral's name for it is "bacterial SSU rRNA". It matches the Rfam family "Bacterial small subunit ribosomal RNA", at positions 30 to 503 of the family's 1533-position model. The record is from RNAcentral.
UGAACGCUGGCGGCAUGCCUAACACAUGCAAGUCGAACGGUAACAGCAGAGCUUGCUCUGGCUGACGAGUGGCGGACGGGUGAGUAAUGAAUAGGAAUCUGCCUAGUAGUGGGGGACAACGUGGUGAAAACCACGCUAAUACCGCAUACGCCCUACGGGGGAAAACGGAGGAUCUUCGGACUUCGUGCUAUUAGAUGAGCCUAUUUCUGAUUAGCUUGUUGGUGAGGUAAUGGCUCACCAAGGCGACGAUCAGUAGCUGGUUUGAGAGAAUGAUCAGCCACACUGGGACUGAGACACGGCCCAGACUCCUACGGGAGGCAGCAGUGGGGAAUAUUGGACAAUGGGCGAAAGCCUGAUCCAGCAAUGCCGCGUGUGUGAAGAAGGCCCGAGGGUUGUAAAGCACUUUCAGCAGUGAGGAAAAGUUUUCGGUUAAUACCCGAGAACCCUGACGUUAACUGCAGAAGAAGCACCGGCUAACUC